Molecule: ribosomal RNA, 255 nt
Filed under: uncultured bacterium
Lineage: Bacteria
Description: partial 16S ribosomal RNA
Rfam family: Bacterial small subunit ribosomal RNA
Source: RNAcentral
CACGCUGUAAACGAUAAUCACUAGAUGUUGGCUCUGUUUGACAGAGUCAGUAUCGUAGCUAACGCGUUAAGUGAUUCACCUGGGGACUACGGUCGCAAGAUUAAAACUCAAAGGAAUUGACGGGGGUCCGCACAAGCGGUGGAACAUGUGGUUUAAUUCGACACUACGCGAGGAACCUUACCUAGGCUUGACAUGUAUUUGACCGUCGUAGAAAUACGAUUUUCUAGGCUUCGGUCUAGACAGAUACACAGGUGC